RNAcentral lists this unclassified non-coding RNA (1986 nucleotides) under Melitaea cinxia (Glanville fritillary). RNAcentral's name for it is "misc RNA ENSMCXG00005013039.1". The record is from RNAcentral. Lineage: Eukaryota; Metazoa; Arthropoda; Insecta; Lepidoptera; Nymphalidae.
UUGAGUGUAAAAAAAAAAACAAUAUUUUAAUAAUUGUUCUGACGUAAAGCUGUGUAGUAUUAUUUAUCUAUGGUUAAAUAAAUAUCAUGUUUUCCUUUGUGGAGACAUAUUUGCAAUUUCGACGUCACUACAUUAUUCAUAUAUUCACAUAAUUACUAUUAAAAGUAGGACAUACUAUUUUGACAAAUUUAUUUUCUUGGUUUCUAAGCUCCAUUCUGACGAUUUUUUAUAUGGGCGGUAUUACCCUUUUUGCUUAAAUUUUGUUCCUUAUAUUAAAAAAAAAUAGGUGGCAAUACAAGACAAGCCAUUAAAAACUAAGGAAUAUAAUUAAAAUAAACAACUCAAAUGUUUUAAUAGAAACUCUUUUCAACUAGAUCUUUAUUGCACUAGGGUUGGGUCGUAUUUAAAUACUAUAAAAUCUAUAAAAUAAUAAUUGAUAAAUUUUGGUGCGGUUAUUGGUGAAAGCCCACAUUUACGUUUAACAUUAAUCAAUUUACGUACAUUUAUAUAUCUUUAACAUCAAAACACUAGUCUAGUACAUUUACUGUGAUGUUACCACUACCAGCGAAAAGAUUUAGACACUAUAAGAAUUAUAAUGUAUGAAAAUACCCAAUAUAGAUCCUAUAUUGAGGGCCUGGUUUACCCGUUAUCGAAAAAGUUUAUCCUGCAACAAGUGACUAAUAUACUUACGGCAGUAAUAGACGAAGCCAUUACGUUUAUACCAUAAGUACAGCGUUUAGAUUCACGACUGCGAAUAGAAAUAUGCAAUAAAUAUAGUGGAAUUAAAAGAAUAUUAUAUAUAUUUCAUCCGUUGGAUACAGUCAUCUGUCAAUUACCGUUAACGGCUUCGGUAAAACAGGCCCUAAACAAACGGUUGAUAACAUUAACUUUUAAAUUUCAAACAUUGUAUCAAUUUCGAAUAAACCAUGUUAGAAAAUUUAACUGUUCGUAACCAAAACGAAGCGUUUUUGAAUACCGGUUUUAGAACGAUACAUAGACUCAAAGAGCAUAAAAUAUAUUUCUUACAAAGAGUGAAUAUUAGCUAGAGACAGUAAAUUAAAGUACAUGUAGUACAUAUUAUUUCUAUGCUAUAUACAUAAAAUUGUUUGCUCGCAAAAAAAAAAUCGACUUCAAUUACAUCGACAAGUAAUACAAGGUAAGUAGACGAAAAAACAGUCGAGUAAAUAAAUACGCGCUAUCAAAGAUUACCUACUCGAUUAAAUUUAAAAAGGACUACAUGACAAGCAUCUGCUUUCGAUUCAAAAAAAGAAUCAUUAAAUCGGUCCACCCAGUCAAAAAUUCUGAAGUAUUUUUUUAAAAACCAAAUUGAGAACUUCCUCCUGUUUUUGAAGUCGGUUAAAAAUCAAUUAAAAGCAGUAGUUUAAGUUCACUUCAAACAUGUGUUAAGUCUAAGCUACUUCUACUUGACUAAUAAUUUGUCUAUAGCUUAGAAAUUCGUCUGUUGUAUAUGUGGUUUCAUUAAAUGACACUCGCUUACAUCCAUUUUGUUAUUGAAAUAUGAAAAAUAAGUUUUCGUUUUGUUAGUUUAGCAAUAUAGUAAAAAGAAAAUAGUUUUUAUACUAUCGUUACACGUUUAUUACCUUUAAAGAAAAAAGGUUUAACAGGUAAAAUACAAUUAAAAUAUAGUUUUUUUUUUUUGUCAAAAAAAGUUUUAUUAUGUUCUUUGAGUCUUUGUCUAUUAAAUAUAUAACACAGAAAUGUGAUGAGCAUUAUUGAAUAAACAAACCGAUUAAUUAAAUGGAAACAUGGUGUGAUAAAGACUUAUCUUUUUAAUAACUAUUUAUUUCUUCUCAUAGAUAUAGUAAAAAAAAGUAGAUAAUGCGCGGCCUUUGUUGUUAGUGAAGCCACAAAACUCGGCUCCUUCAAGUAAAUACACGCGCUCACGCACACAUAUGCAUCAAACUACGCUCAUUUUCGUUAGUAUGUCACGAGGCUUCAUACAGUAACUUUGCUUAUAAAAUGCCG